This 301-nucleotide ribosomal RNA is filed under the name uncultured bacterium. RNAcentral describes it as "partial 16S ribosomal RNA". It matches the Rfam family "Bacterial small subunit ribosomal RNA", at positions 509 to 808 of the family's 1533-position model. The record is from RNAcentral.
CAGCCGCCGCGGUAAUACAGAGGGUGCGAGCGUUAAUCGGAUUUACUGGGCGUAAAGCGUGCGUAGGCGGCUUCUUAAGUCGGAUGUGAAAUCCCUGAGCUUAACUUAGGAAUUGCAUUCGAUACUGGGAAGCUAGAGUAUGGGAGAGGAUGGUAGAAUUCCAGGUGUAGCGGUGAAAUGCGUAGAGAUCUGGAGGAAUACCGAUGGCGAAGGCAGCCAUCUGGCCUAAUACUGACGCUGAGGUACGAAAGCAUGGGAGCAAACAGGAUUAGAUACCCCCGUAGUCCCUGUCUCUUAUACA